GUGAACGGCGGCCGUAACUAUAACGGUCCUAAGGUAGCGAAAUUCCUUGUCAGGUAAGUUCUGACCCGCAUGAAAGGCGUAAUGAUUUGGGCACUGUCUCAACAGCCCGCCCGGCGAAAUUGUAGUACCGGUGAAGAUGCCGGUUACCCGCGACAAGACGGAAAGACCCCAUGGAGCUUUACUGUAGCCUAAUAUUGGGUUUCGAUGUUGCAUGCACAGGAUAGAUGGGACACAGGGAAACAAGUGCUUUGGCAUUUGUGGAGUGGCCGUUGGGAUACCAUCCUUGCGAUAUUGGAAUUCUAACCUGCGCCUUUGAAUCAAGGCGGGGGACAUUGUUAGGUGGGCAGUUUGACUGGGGCGGUCGCCUCCUAAAGAGUAACGGAGGCGUUCAAAGGUUCGCUCAGCUUGAACGGAAAUCAAGCAAAAGAGUGCAAACGCAGAAGCGAGCCUAACUGCGAGACUGACGGGUCGAGCAGUAACGAAAGUUGGAGUUAGUGAUCCGGUGGUAUGUGAGUGGAAAUGCCAUCGCUCAACGGAUAAAAGUUACCCUGGGGAUAACAGGCUGAUCUCCCCCAAGAGUCCACAUCGACGGGGAGGUUUGGCACCUCGAUGUCGGCUCAUCGCAUCCUGGGGCUGUAUUCGGUCCCAAGGGUUUGGCUGUUCGCCAAUUAAAGCGGUACGCGAGCUGGGUUCAGAACGUCGUGAGACAGUUCGGUCCCUAUCUGUCGUGGGCGCAGGAUAUUUGAUGGGAGCUGUUCCUAGUACGAGAGGACCGGAGCGGACGUACCUCUGGCGCACCAGUUGUUCUGCCAAGGGCAUAGCUGGGCAACUAUGUACGGAUCGGAUAAACGCUGAAAGCAUCUAAGCGUGAAGCCGACCCAAAGAUAAGAUAUCCCAUUGUUUCAAACAAGUAAGACCCCUUGAAGACUACAAGGUUGAUAGGCACGAUGUGUAAGUGGAGUGAUCCAUUCAGCAAGCGUGUACUAAUAGGUCGAGGGCUUGACCAC
RNAcentral lists this ribosomal RNA (1007 nucleotides) under human gut metagenome. RNAcentral describes it as "bacterial LSU rRNA". It matches the Rfam family "Bacterial large subunit ribosomal RNA", at positions 1923 to 2925 of the family's 2925-position model. The record is from RNAcentral.